RNAcentral lists this ribosomal RNA (305 nucleotides) under uncultured bacterium. Its description in RNAcentral is "bacterial SSU rRNA". It matches the Rfam family "Bacterial small subunit ribosomal RNA", at positions 337 to 640 of the family's 1533-position model. The record is from RNAcentral.
ACCUACGGGGGGCAGCAGUGAGGAAUAUUGGUCAAUGGUCGGGAGACUGAACCAGCCAAGCCGCGUGAGGGAUGAAGGUACAGAGUAUCGUAAACCUCUUUUGUCAGGGAACAAAGGCGGGGACGCGUCCCCGGAUGAGUGUACCUGAAGAAAAAGCAUCGGCUAACUCCGUGCCAGCAGCCGCGGUAAUACGGAGGAUGCGAGCGUUAUCCGGAUUUAUUGGGUUUAAAGGGUGCGUAGGCGGGACGGGAAGUCAGCGGUAAAAAUGCGGAGGCCAACUCCGUCGAGCCGGUGAAACUGCCGUU